AACGAACGCUGGCGGCGUGCCUAACACAUGCAAGUCGAACGAAACCUUCGGGCUUUGUGGCGCUCCGGUGCGUAACGCCUGGGAACCUGCCCGUGGGUUCGCUAUAACUCACCGAGAGAGAUCCUAAUACAGGUUGAUGUCUUCGGGCCUAAGAUUUAUCGCCUUGGGGUGGGGGCGGGAUGGUUUAGCUGGUUGGUAGUGUAAAAGCGGGCCAACGCGAGGUUGCAUAGCUGGUGUGUGAGGAUGAUCAGCUACAAUGGGGAUGCGACACGGACCAGACCCCGACGGGAGGGAGGAGUGGGGAACAUUGUACAAUGGGGGAAGACCUGAUACAGCAAUGCCGGGUAAGUGAUGAAGGCCGUAGGGUUGUAAAGCUCUUUUAGCCGGGAUGAUAAUGACAGUACCGGGUGAAUAAGCACCGGCUAACUACGUG
Molecule: ribosomal RNA, 433 nt
Filed under: uncultured bacterium
Lineage: Bacteria
Description: partial 16S ribosomal RNA
Rfam family: Bacterial small subunit ribosomal RNA
Source: RNAcentral